This 241-nucleotide ribosomal RNA is filed under the name uncultured eukaryote. RNAcentral describes it as "partial small subunit ribosomal RNA". It matches the Rfam family "Eukaryotic small subunit ribosomal RNA", at positions 587 to 832 of the family's 1831-position model. The record is from RNAcentral.
AGCUCCAAUAGCGUAUAUUAAAGUUGUUGCGGUUAAAAAGCUCGUAGUUGGAUUUCUGCUGAGGACGACCGGUCCGCCCUCUGGGUGAGCAUUGGGUUCGGCCUCGGCAUCUUCUUGGGGAACGUUGCUGCACUUGACUGUGUGGAGCGGUAUCCAGGACUUUUACUUUGAGGAAAUUAGAGUGUUUCAAGCAGGCUUAUGCCUUGAAUACAUUAGCAUGGAAUAAUAAGAUAGGACCUCG